Molecule: unclassified non-coding RNA, 364 nt
Filed under: uncultured bacterium
Lineage: Bacteria
Description: contains 16S-23S intergenic spacer region
Source: RNAcentral
UCCCGGUUGGCCCGGGCAGUCUUGCAUGAAAAAUACAACAUACAAUAAGGGUUGCGCUCGUUGCGGGACUUAACCCAACAUCUCACGACACGAGCUGACGACGGCCAUGCAGCACCUGUCACUGAGCUCCCGAAGGCACUCCACCGUUUCCGGCGGAUUCUCAGGAUGUCAAGCCUCGGUAAGGUUCUACGCGUAGCGUCAUAUUAAACCACAUGAUCCUCUGCUUGUGCGGGUCCCCGUCAAUUCCUUUGAGUUUUAGCCUUGCGGCCGUACUUCCCAGGCGGCAUACUUAUCGCGUUAGCUUCGUCUCACAGGGGGUCGAUACCCCAUAAGACUAGUAUGCAUCGUUUACGGCGUGGACUAC